ACGGGAAAAACGCUGCUUACGUCACUAAGCUUACAGCAGUAUACUAAAAUAUUUCUUUGCAAACAAGAACGAGUUUUAAAGGAUCAAUAGACCUAAUUAAACAUUUGCACACCAUCUAACUGUAGAUUGAUUUAUUAUAGAACUAUGAAAGAAAAGAGCAUACUACUUCCAAAAACCUGAUCUGAUUGUCACUAACUUUCAAAUUGAAAGGGAUCUACUACAACUGCUCAUGAAUUUCGAGAUUUUCCAGCUAAUAGAGGAACAAAUUUUAUCUGCUUCCACUUAGCCAAACAGCAUGGAAAUAUGCUAUUGUAAUGAGUAGAAGAUAUUUGUCAUUUAGAGUAUCAUGCAACAGCUAAUUAUCAGUCCACACAUUUCAAGAUGAGGAAAAGAACAGUAUAAGCUACAUUCAUUGAUGCAUUAUUUAUACAAAAAUGUAUAGUCAACCCAGUCAUCACUCCAUUUUUUUUAUGAAGCCAGUUACAGUUACCAUGAAGGGAUGAAAUUUCAGAUAAUAUUUUGUUUAUUUCAUGAAAUGAGAAUAGGCCUACAUCAGAAAUUGAGAUGGUCAUCUUCAGUAUUUAAUGUUUCAUCUAAAAAUGAUAAUUAUAUUAAUACAUAUUUGAUGUACAAACAAAUGAAAACCAUUCAAACACUUUUUUUUUGUGAAGUAUAGAUGAUUAAACUUGUAAAUGUCUGAACAAUACUACAUCGACAUUAACUUAUUAUUAUAGACUUUUUACAGGAAUGUAUCUUAAGCUGGACUGAAAGAGAAAGUUGCUAUAAUUUAAAUAAUAAAAUUUAAUAGUUUGAACAUGUAACUAAAAAUUGAAUAAUGCUAACAUUUAUUGACAAGUGAAUAUUGGUAAUGAUGU
This is a long non-coding RNA of Biomphalaria glabrata, 875 nucleotides long. RefSeq lists it as uncharacterized. Lineage: Eukaryota; Metazoa; Mollusca; Gastropoda; Planorbidae. The record is from RefSeq and is a predicted model, not a curated record. The transcript has 3 exons.